GAACGCUGGCGGUAGGCCUAACGCAUGCAAGUCGAACGGCAGCACAGUAAGAGCUUGCUCUUACGGGUGGCGAGUGGCGGACGGGUGAGGAAUACGUCGGAAUCUACUUUUUCGUGGGGGAUAACGUAGGGAAACUUACGCUAAUACCGCAUACGACCUACGGGUGAAAGCAGGGGAUCUUCGGACCUUGCGCGAUUGAAUGAGCCGAUGUCGGAUUAGCUAGUUGGCGGGGUAAAGGCCCACCAAGGCGACGAUCCGUAGCUGGUCUGAGAGGAUGAUCAGCCACACUGGAACUGAGACACGGUCCAGACUCCUACGGGAGGCAGCAGUGGGGAAUAUUGGACAAUGGGCGCAAGCCUGAUCCAGCCAUACCGCGUGGGUGAAGAAGGCCUUCGGGUUGUAAAGCCCUUUUGUUGGGAAAGAAAAGCAGCAGGUUAAUACCCCGCUGUUCUGACGGUACCCAAAGAAUAAGCACCGGCUAACUUCGUG
This 489-nucleotide ribosomal RNA is filed under the name uncultured bacterium. Its description in RNAcentral is "partial 16S ribosomal RNA". It matches the Rfam family "Bacterial small subunit ribosomal RNA", at positions 31 to 507 of the family's 1533-position model. The record is from RNAcentral.